RNAcentral lists this long non-coding RNA (2855 nucleotides) under Daucus carota (carrot). RNAcentral's name for it is "long non-coding RNA (DCAR_LNC002907)". The record is from RNAcentral. Lineage: Eukaryota; Viridiplantae; Streptophyta; Magnoliopsida; Apiales; Apiaceae.
CAGGCUGUCAUAAUAUGGAUAUAAAAAGCCAGAAAGGAAAGUCUGACCUCGAGGCUCUUUCCUGGUACAGGGUAAAAACCAAGUGCUUCAGAUUCUGCAAAUCAUGGCCCUCAUGUUUGAAAUCUUCCCGACUCUUCUGCUGAUUCAAUAUAAGCUCAUUUUAGUAUUUAUGUGCUCCUGAAUCAUGACUUCAAGUUGCUCCAUCAUCUCUUUAUCUUCCUACAUCAUACCAGUCCAAACAUGUCGUCAAGUGGCAAACUAUAAACAAAACAAUUGCCGUGUUCUUUAAGGACCUGUGUGGGGAUCCCAAUUCCCAGUUGCAGUUCAAUAAGACUGAUAGGGAAAUCCAGGUCAUUACGACAUCACCACACUGUUCAAGCAUUUCAGCACAAAUAUGUUAAAUCAAGAAUUCGUCUGUGAUGGCCACUCGAAUGAUUACGUAGUUAAAACAGUUUACCAAAUAAACAACUAUUUUAACAAAAUAUAUCAAAUUGUUUGUAAGAAAACAAAUUCGUUAUACAACCAAGCACCACCAUGAUCUAGAAUGCAUUAAAGUCAGCUGGGAAAUAAUAUUUUGAUAUUAAAAUGUGAAGACCAAAUCCAAAAUCAAAUUGCAAAGCUACUGUUUGUCAUUUGCACUUUGCAGAAAACUAGAACAGUCCUGCUCACUGCAAAUAUAUAUACUUAAUCCAACCAGAAAAGGCAGACCACAUGAAAAUAUAGGGAACAAUCAGCAUCUUUUAAUAGUAAUGUCGAUAAGUUUAUUCAGUUAUCAUAGACUUUCAUUUCGCAGCAGUAGCUUAUUGAUGCACUUAAAAUUAUGAAGUACAACAGAGGUCACCAAGUAUUUGUAAGGGAAUACUAGUAGUAAUGUUUAUAGAGGAAGUUCCGACCACCAUGACUGGGUGUCUUGAAUUCGAAUAAAUAUAUGUAUAAAGUUUUCAGCAACAAUCGAUAUAAUAACAGUAUAUUGAUCCUAACACAAGACGCACAUAUAUAAAAACUUCACAUUGAUCUUUAAGAUCAACACGUUUACAAACAUUACUUUCACAUAGAGUUAAUUGCAAAUUGCACCCCUAAACUUGGGCUCAAACGCACUUCAGUCAACAUACUUUUGGAAAUUGCAAUUUGCAACCCCUUACUAUUUAGUGAUGUCGAAUGCAGCGCACUAAAUAGUAAGGGGUUGCAAACUGCAAUUUUCAAAAAUAUGUUGACUGAAGUGCGUUUGGACAUAAAUAUGUAUUCAGUUUGCAAUCGCAAAGCAGGGGGGGAUUUGAACUUCAGAGAGAGAAUUAGAGAGAAUAUGGAUAAUAUAGCUACUGUCCUGGGAAAAAGCAUUUUCAAGCAACUAUAAAGAGAUGCUAAGAAAUAGAUUCAACUGAAGUUCACAUAUCUCUGACAUGAGCAAACUGAUUAAAUAUUAUAGAAGGGGAUUACAGGCGAAGAAAUUAGAAAUCUUCAAUAGCUAUUCCACCAAUCUCUAAAAUUAUUCAAUCAUAAGUUAAAAAUAGAUAAUAAAAUUAUUCUAUGAUGAGUCAAAAUAGAUAAUAAUUACUCAAUCAAUUGUCGACUCAAUUUCAAGCUCCUUGUUAUUUUAGCUCAUUAAUUCAAGCUUCUUAUUACUUCCACCAAGGCACGCUUGAGUAGAGUUACAUACUUGCAUAGUUUUCUCAGCAGCUUAUCCGAUAGGAACGGUUCCAGUUAGACUUUUUUAGCAUUUCGUAUUUCACCAGAAUAAGCUUCAUCAAAAGUUUUUCAGAAAACGACCUCUCACCUCUUCAAUUAGAGGUGUUUUAGAGCAUUCACAGCCGGCCCCCAAUCCCCAACCCUAAAAACUUACUAAAAAUAGUACUCCCUCUGUUUUGAAAUAUAAGUCGUUUGACUUUUUUGCACACGUCUCUAAGUCCAUUGACCGCAUGCUAAAAAUCAUUAUUUUUGAAAUUUUCUUUUUUUGAAUAAAAAUAUAUGAUUUAUAUUUUUAUUCAAAAGACUUAAAAAUAUAUGAUAAUUGAGGUGCGGUCAAAAGACUUAAAAAUACGUGCAAAAAAGUCAAACGAACUAUAUUUCAAAAUGGAAGGAGUAAUCCCUCAAAAAUUUUUACAAACUUUUAAAAAUUUCUUCCAUCCCAUUCCCCAUAUUGAAUCCCUAUUACCCAGAAAAGUAUAAGAUAACACAUGAAAUUAAUAAAAUAAUAAUGAAAUGAUAAUGAAAUGGAAGAUGAAUAGUGUACGAGAGAUGAAUAGUGUAACCCCAAAUAUGAGGAUUUAUUUCUAAUCUCAAAACCAAACCCUAUUUUGGGGUUCCGGAUGUAGAGUACAUUUUUGCAAAAGUUAGUAGAUUUCUUUAAAUUAUGGGGUUGGGGUUGGUUUUGGGGAAUGGGAUGAGAAUGCUCUUAAACACCAUAUUCAGUUUGUACAUUCAUCUUCUACUGUUUUAGAGUUCUACUGUUUUAGAGUAGAGAUAAGUUUUGCGUACAUCUUACUCUACCUAAACCAAUACAACCAAUACACCGGUGACCUAACAUUGCUUUGUUUAUUUAGUUUGUAGUUUAUAAUGCUCCCUUGGUAACUUCAAUUUGUUUAGUAUAUCAGUUCCCUUGAUGUACUCAGUAAAGUUUACACAAGAUCAAUUUAAUGAAGCUUAGAAUUAGCGAUCAUCUAUCGACUAUCAUAGCUAAAGAGUAUUGCAAGAUAAAUUUAUAAUCCUUCAGGUACGUACUCAAGCUAUAUAGCUAAAUGAUUUUACAAAAGUCGACAAUACAAAUGAAAUGAUCAAAACAAAAUAAAAAUUUAAUUUAUUUUGAACAAAUUUGAAAAGCUUACAGCUGAGCGGCUGAGCCUGAUGAACAGCUAGAG